RNAcentral lists this transfer RNA (85 nucleotides) under archaeon. RNAcentral's name for it is "tRNA-Leu". It matches the Rfam family "tRNA". From Rfam's summary of the family: Transfer RNA (tRNA) molecules are approximately 80 nucleotides in length. Their secondary structure includes four short double-helical elements and three loops (D, anti-codon, and T loops). The record is from RNAcentral.
GGCAACUUGGCCGAGCGGUCCAAGGCGCUCGACUCAAGUUCGAGUCUCUACGGAGGCGUGGGUUCGAACCCCACAGUUGUCACCA